Molecule: ribosomal RNA, 700 nt
Filed under: uncultured bacterium
Lineage: Bacteria
Description: bacterial SSU rRNA
Rfam family: Bacterial small subunit ribosomal RNA
Source: RNAcentral
UCGAGGGGCAGCGGGGAGCAAGCUUGCUUGCUCUGCCGGCGACCGGCGCACGGGUGAGUAACACGUAUGCAACCUGCCCUCCGCAGGGGGAUAACCCGGAGAAAUCCGGACUAAUACCGCGUGGUACACUUGUGGGGCAUCCCACGGGUGUUAAAAGGAAGUGAUUCCGGCGGAGGAUGGGCAUGCGGCGCAUUAGCUGGUUGGCGGGGUAACGGCCCACCAAGGCGACGAUGCGUAGGGGUUCUGAGAGGAAGGUCCCCCACACUGGUACUGAGACACGGACCAGACUCCUACGGGAGGCAGCAGUGAGGAAUAUUGGUCAAUGGGCGGGAGCCUGAACCAGCCAAGUCGCGUGAGGGAAGACGGUCCUAUGGAUUGUAAACCUCUUUAGGCGGGGAGCAAUGCCGGGCACGCGUGCCCGGAGGGAGAGUACCCGCAGAAUAAGCAUCGGCUAACUCCGUGCCAGCAGCCGCGGUAAUACGGAGGAUGCGAGCGUUAUCCGGAUUUAUUGGGUUUAAAGGGUGCGUAGGCGGAUUUUUAAGUCAGCGGUAAAAUGUCCGGGCUCAACCCGGGCCGGCCGUUGAAACUGGGGAUCUUGAGUGGGCGAGAAGUAUGCGGAAUGCGUGGUGUAGCGGUGAAAUGCAUAGAUAUCACGCAGAACUCCGAUUGCGAAGGCAGCAUACCGGCGCCCGACUGACGC